UACGAGGUGGCAAGCGUUGUCCGGAAUUAUUGGGCGUAAAGCGCGCGCAGGCGGUUUCUUAAGUCUGAUGUGAAAGCCCACGGCUCAACCGUGGAGGGUCAUUGGAAACUGGGGAACUUGAGUACAGAAGAGGAGAGUGGAAUUCCACGUGUAGCGGUGAAAUGCGUAGAGAUGUGGAGGAACACCAGUGGCGAAGGCGGCUCUCUGGUCUGUAACUGACGCUGAGGCGCGAAAGCGUGGGGAGCAAACAGG
This 252-nucleotide ribosomal RNA is filed under the name uncultured bacterium. RNAcentral's name for it is "partial 16S ribosomal RNA". It matches the Rfam family "Bacterial small subunit ribosomal RNA", at positions 524 to 776 of the family's 1533-position model. The record is from RNAcentral.